Molecule: long non-coding RNA, 700 nt
Filed under: Ananas comosus (pineapple)
Lineage: Eukaryota; Viridiplantae; Streptophyta; Magnoliopsida; Poales; Bromeliaceae
Description: long non-coding RNA (ACOM_LNC000921)
Source: RNAcentral
AUGAUCGAUAAUUCUUAUUGGGCUGAGUUGGAAUUGUUCUAAUCCACUGAAAAGAGUUUCAAUGACAUUGUUGAUAGUGAUUAAAAUAUAUCUCACUACCAGAUAGAAUAGAACCUAUGGGGUCACACACACAAGAGGUUGUGAUUAAUCGGAUAGCUAGAUCGCGAUUAUUGAAUCGCUGGAGGACCUAAUUGUCAAUAUGUUGAUAAUUGGACUAAUUUGUAAUUGUUAAAAAUUAGUGGUAUUAAAGUGUAAAUGUUACUAGAGAGGACUUACUAAUAGUUAGUAAAUUAUAAGAGGACUUAUGUGCAAAUGUUGCAUUAUUAAUUUGAUAUGAUCAAAUUAAUAUAAAGUUCAAGUCGAAUCAAAUUAGGAUUUGAUCGAUCUAACUAAUUAAGGAAAGGAUAAAUUUAAAUCUAGAUUUGUACUUAUCCUUAAUGGUUAUUAUAUUAUUAAAAAGAUGAUUAUAUUUCUCUAUAUAAGAAUAUGGGAGUUUUUAGAAAACCCUAGCCGUCAUCUUUUCUCUCUUCUCUCUUCCAUAUUCUAGCAAAAAGACGUCCUUCGCAAUGGAGCUAGCACCCUGGUGAGGAUAUUGAUCAAAUCAAGAACCUCGUGUGCAUACCUAUAGAGGCCGGACGCGUGUGCAGCUUCAAGAGAAUCCGAUUCGACGAUCAUCAAAUUGAGGUGAAGAUUUAUGCGC